CCUACGGGCGGCAGCAGUGAGGAAUAUUGGUCAAUGGACGAGAGUCUGAACCAGCCAAGUAGCGUGAAGGAUGACUGCCCUAUGGGUUGUAAACUUCUUUUAUAUGGGAAUAAAAUGUUCCACGUGUGGGAUUUUGUAUGUACCAUAUGAAUAAGGCUCGGCUAACUCCGUGCCAGCAGCCGCGGUAAUACGGAGGAUCCGAGCGUUAUCCGGAUUUAUUGGGUUUAAAGGGAGCGUAGGUGGAUUGUUAAGUCAGUUGUGAAAGUUUGGGGCUCAACCGUAAAAUUGCAGUUGAAACUGGCAGUCUUGAGUACAGUAGAGGUGGGCGGAAUUCGUGGUGUAGCGGUGAAAUGCUUAGAUAUCACGAAGAACUCCGAUUGCGAAGGCAGUUCACUGGACUGCAACUGACACUGAGGCUCGAAAGUGUGGGUAUCAAACAGGAUUAGAUACCCGUGUAGUC
RNAcentral lists this ribosomal RNA (460 nucleotides) under uncultured bacterium. RNAcentral's name for it is "partial 16S ribosomal RNA". It matches the Rfam family "Bacterial small subunit ribosomal RNA", at positions 338 to 795 of the family's 1533-position model. The record is from RNAcentral.